AACGCAUAUUGCGCUCUUUGGUAUUCCGAAGAGCAUGCUUGUUUGAGUAUCAGUAAACACCUCAACCUCCUCUUGAUUUUUCAAAAGGAGGGUGGACUUGAGCUAUCCCAACAACCUUUAUCGGUCGGCGGGCGGCUUGAAAUGCAGGUGCAGCUGGACUUUUAUCUGAGCUAAAAGCAUAUCUAUUUAGUCCUCGUCAAACAGGAUUAUUACUUUUGCUGCAGCUAACAUAAAGGAUAAUUGUCCUCUUUGCUGACUGAUGCAGGAUUUUACGACACUUUAUGUGUUGUUCAACUCGAUCUCAAAUCAAGUAAGACUACCCGCUGAACUUAA
RNAcentral lists this unclassified non-coding RNA (333 nucleotides) under uncultured Mortierella. Its description in RNAcentral is "sequence contains ITS2". The record is from RNAcentral. Lineage: Eukaryota; Fungi; Mortierellomycota; Mortierellomycetes; Mortierellales; Mortierellaceae.